UUCCGUAGGUGAACCUGCGGAAGGAUCAUUACCGAGUGCGGGCCCUCUGGGUCCAACCUCCCAUCCGUGUCUAUCUGUACCCUGUUGCUUCGGCGUGGCCACGGCCCGCCGAAGACUAACAUUUGAACACUGUCUGAAGUUUGCAGUCUGAGUUUUUAGUUAAACAAUAAUUAAAACUUUCAACAACGGAUCUCUUGGUUCCGGCAUCGAUGAAGAACGCAGCGAAAUGCGAUAAUUAAUGUGAAUUGCAGAAUUCAGUGAAUCAUCGAGUCUUUGAACGCACAUUGCGCCCCCUGGUAUUCCGGGGGGCAUGCCUGUCCGAGCGUCAUUGCUGCCCUCAAGCACGGCUUGUGUGUUGGGCUUCCGUCCCUGGUAACGGGGACGGGCCCAAAAGGCAGUGGCGGCACCAUGUCUGGUCCUCGAGCGUAUGGGGCUUUGUCACCCGCUCCCGUAGGUCCAGCUGGCAGCUAGCCUCGCAACCAAUCUUUUUAACCAGGUUGACCUCGGAUCAGGUAGGGAUACCCGCUGAACUUAAGCAUAUCAAUAAGCGGAGGAA
RNAcentral lists this ribosomal RNA (556 nucleotides) under Eurotium sp. BC6. Its description in RNAcentral is "eukaryotic LSU rRNA". The stretch from base 175 to 328 matches the Rfam family "5.8S ribosomal RNA". Lineage: Eukaryota; Fungi; Ascomycota; Eurotiomycetes; Eurotiales; Aspergillaceae. The record is from RNAcentral.